GUAAAGUGGCGCACGGGUGAGUAACGCGUAAGAUAACCUGUCUUCAUGGUCUGGAAUAAUACGCCGAAAGGGGUACUAAUACCGGAUAUUCUUGCUUUUCAUAAGUUAUGCAAGCAAAGGUGGCCUCUGCAUAUGCUACUGCAUGAAGAGGGGUCUGCGUACCAUUAGCCAGUAGGUGGGGUAAUGGCCUACCUAGGCGACGAUGGUUAGCGGGUCUGAGAGGAUGAUCCGCCACACUGGCACUGGAACACGGGCCAGACUCCUACGGGAGGCAGCAGUGAGGAAUAUUGCGCAAUGGGGGAAACCCUGACGCAGCGACGCCGCGUGAGUGAGGAAGGCCUUCGGGUCGUAAAGCUCUGUCAAGAGGAAAGAAGUGUACAAUGGCUAAUACCUGUUGUAUUUGACGGUACCUCUAAAGGAAGCACCGGCUAACUCCGUGCCAGCCGCCGC
Molecule: ribosomal RNA, 450 nt
Filed under: uncultured bacterium
Lineage: Bacteria
Description: bacterial SSU rRNA
Rfam family: Bacterial small subunit ribosomal RNA
Source: RNAcentral